Ixodes scapularis (black-legged tick) is the source of this 82-nucleotide non-coding RNA. The record is from Rfam. NCBI's taxonomy places the organism in Eukaryota, Metazoa, Arthropoda, Arachnida, Ixodida, Ixodidae.
GCAGUCAUGGCCGAGUGGUUAAGGCAAUGGAAUAGAAAUCCAUUGGGGUCUCCCCGCACAGGUUUGAAUCCUGUCGACUGCG